Molecule: ribosomal RNA, 1322 nt
Filed under: cf. Pseudicyema truncatum EM-2019
Lineage: Eukaryota; Metazoa; Dicyemida; Rhombozoa; Dicyemidae
Description: SSU rRNA
Rfam family: Eukaryotic small subunit ribosomal RNA
Source: RNAcentral
GGCAGUGCCGGUGACAUAUCAAUUAGAUGUCCGCCCCAUCAAUUGUUGACGGUAAGGUAGUGGCUUACCGUGGUUACAACGGGUAACGGGGAAUCAGGGUUCGAUUCCGGAGAGGGAGCAUGAGAAAUGGCUGCCAGAUCUAUGGAUUGCAGCAGGUGCGAAAAUUAUCCACUUUUGGCAUAAAGAGAUAGUGAUGAUAAAUAACGGAUCUGGGCAUUUGUUCAGAGAUCGUAAUGAAAUAAUCGUAAAAGCUUUAAUGAACGCAAUUGGAGGGCAAGUCUGGUGCCAGCAGCCGCGGCAAUUCCAGUUCCAAUAGUGUAUACUAAAGUUGCUGCAGUUGAAAAGCUCGUAGUUGGAUCUCGGCUUGCUAGCGCGCGAGGCGUGUGAGUAGGCCUUUGCUGUAGUUGAGUGCUACGGCUUUACCUUGAACAAAAUAGAGUGCUUAAGGCAAGCAUUCUGCUUGAAUAUCUCAGCAUGGAAUAAUAGAAAAAGACUUUUCUGUUGGUUUACCAGUAGUAAAAGUAAUGAUUAACAGAGACAGACGGGGGCAUUCGUAUCGCACCGCUAGAGGUGAAAUUCGUAGAUCGGUGCGGGACGAACUACAGCGAAAGCAUUUGCCAAGGAUGUUUUCAUUAAUCAAGAACGAAAGUUGGAGUAUCGAAGUCGAUUAGAUCUCGUCGUAGUUCCAACUAUAAACGAUGCCAACUAGCACUCCGCUAAUAAGUAUUAGUACGUUAGCGGGUUGCUUCCGGGAAACCAAAGUCUUUGGGCUCCGGGGGAAGUAUGGUUGCAAAGCUGAAACUUAAAGGAAUUGACGGAAGGGCACCACCAGGAGUGGAGCCUGCGGCUCAAUUUGACUCAACACAGAAAAACUCACCCGGGCCGAACACAGUAAGGAUUGACAGACUGAUAGCUUUUUCUUGAUACUGUGGGUAGUGGUGCAUGGCCGUUGUUGGUUGGUGGAGUGAUCUGUCUGGUUAAUUCCGAUAACGAACGAAACUCAGGCCUACUUACUAGUUGUUCGAUUGCUGGUCGAUCAACUUCUUAGAGGGAUCAGUGUUUAAAACACUUGAAAAUGAGCAAUAACAGGUCUGUGAUUGCCCUUAGACGUUCGGGGCUGCACGCGCGCUACAAUGGAGAAAGCAGUGGGUGUCUUGCUUGGCAAAGCAAGCUGAGCCUUAAAAUUUCUUCGUGACAGGGAUCGAGGCUUGUAAUUAUUCCUCGUGCACAAGGAAUUCCUAGUAAUCGCAGGUCAUUAGCCUGCAAUGAUUACGUCCCUGCCCUUUGUACACACCGCCCGUCGCUACUACCGAUGAAUGAUU